RNAcentral lists this transfer RNA (83 nucleotides) under Cylicostephanus minutus. RNAcentral describes it as "tRNA-Glu". The record is from RNAcentral. Lineage: Eukaryota; Metazoa; Nematoda; Chromadorea; Rhabditida; Strongylidae.
AGAUUAACUGAGAUUUUAGUAUAUUGAGACUUUAGUAUAAUAAAGUAUAAUUUAUUUUCAAUAAAUAGGUUUAAUAAGUCUUA